RNAcentral lists this ribosomal RNA (596 nucleotides) under uncultured bacterium. RNAcentral describes it as "bacterial SSU rRNA". It matches the Rfam family "Bacterial small subunit ribosomal RNA", at positions 155 to 747 of the family's 1533-position model. The record is from RNAcentral.
AACGGUAGCUAAUACCGCAUAACGUCGCAAGACCAAAGAGGGGGACCUUCGGGCCUCUUGCCAUCGGAUGUGCCCAGAUGGGAUUAGCUAGUAGGUGGGGUAACGGCUCACCUAGGCGACGAUCCCUAGCUGGUCUGAGAGGAUGACCAGCCACACUGGAACUGAGACACGGUCCAGACUCCUACGGGAGGCAGCAGUGGGGAAUAUUGCACAAUGGGCGCAAGCCUGAUGCAGCCAUGCCGCGUGUAUGAAGAAGGCCUUCGGGUUGUAAAGUCUUUCAGCGAGGAGGAAGGGGAUGUGGUUAAUAACCGCAUUCAUUGACGUUACUCGCAGAAGAAGCACCGGCUAACUCCGUGCCAGCAGCCGCGGUAAUACGGAGGGUGCAAGCGUUAAUCGGAAUUACUGGGCGUAAAGCGCACGCAGGCGGUCUGUCAAGUCGGAUGUGAAAUCCCCGGGCUCAACCUGGGAACUGCAUCCGAAACUGGCAGGCUAGAGUCUUGUAGAGGGGGGUAGAAUUCCAGGUGUAGCGGUGAAAUGCGUAGAGAUCUGGAGGAAUACCGGUGGCGAAGGCGGCCCCCUGGACAAAGACUGACGCU